Molecule: non-coding RNA, 484 nt
Organism: Drosophila melanogaster (fruit fly)
Lineage: Eukaryota; Metazoa; Arthropoda; Insecta; Diptera; Drosophilidae
Source: Ensembl
GACAAACUAAGUUAAUGAAAUAGAGGCCGUGAAAGACUGAGCCGCAAAAAAGUCGAGCGAAAAGCGAGAAUUUUCACACUAUAAUACGUAGUGGAAGUGUACAUAUGUGUUUUUGCGAAAGUCGGUUUAUUUUAGUGGUGGGGGUCGGCUCGACUCGACAUUUCGCUGAACUGGGCGGCCUCCCGGGUGCCUUUUGUUUGAUGGCGUCAAGGCGGAAACGUGCCCACGAGAAUGCAGGGAUAAACUAAAUAUACGCUGCAAAUUUAUUGUGCGGAAAAUAUUCCUGCGUUUCGCAUUCAGGACGCUGUAUGAAUGUCUCGGCGCUGCACGACUCACAGAAAAAAAAAAAAAUAAAAUAAAAAAAAACUCGUUGACCUUUAUGACUUUACCAUACAAAGAGAUUUUCUCGCAUUUUCAUGGCUAAAGUCUGAAAAUUAAAUUUAAUUACGGAAAGUGGUAUGGGUAACCCCAAGCCUCAGAACCU